This 304-nucleotide ribosomal RNA is filed under the name uncultured bacterium. RNAcentral describes it as "partial 16S ribosomal RNA". It matches the Rfam family "Archaeal small subunit ribosomal RNA", at positions 456 to 760 of the family's 1478-position model. The record is from RNAcentral.
CAGCAGCCGCCGCGGUAAAACCAGCACCUCGAGUGGUCAGGAGGUUUAUUGGGCCUAAAGCAUCCGUAGCCGGUUGCAUAAGUUUUCGGUUAAAUCUAUGCGCUUAACGUAUAGGCCGCCGAAAAUACUGUGCAGCUAGGGAGUGGGAGAGGUACACGGUACUCGAUAGGAAGGGGUAAAAUCCUUUGAUCUAUUGAUGACCACCUGUGGCGAAGGCGGUGUACCAGAACACGUUCGACGGUGAGGGAUGAAAGCUGGGGGAGCAAACCGGAUUAGAUACCCGCGUAGUCCCUGUCUCUUAUAC